This 71-nucleotide transfer RNA is filed under the name Ictidomys tridecemlineatus (thirteen-lined ground squirrel). RNAcentral describes it as "Spermophilus tridecemlineatus (thirteen-lined ground squirrel) tRNA". It matches the Rfam family "tRNA". From Rfam's summary of the family: Transfer RNA (tRNA) molecules are approximately 80 nucleotides in length. Their secondary structure includes four short double-helical elements and three loops (D, anti-codon, and T loops). The record is from Rfam by way of RNAcentral. Lineage: Eukaryota; Metazoa; Chordata; Mammalia; Rodentia; Sciuridae.
GGGGUUGUGGCUCAGUGGUAGAGUGCUCGCCUCACAGGUAAGAGGCCCUGGGUUCGAUCCUCAGCACCUCA